This 794-nucleotide ribosomal RNA is filed under the name Tetratoma fungorum. Its description in RNAcentral is "partial 16S ribosomal RNA". The stretch from base 1 to 580 matches the Rfam family "Bacterial large subunit ribosomal RNA", at positions 1819 to 2925 of the family's 2925-position model. The record is from RNAcentral. Lineage: Eukaryota; Metazoa; Arthropoda; Insecta; Coleoptera; Tetratomidae.
GUCUUUUUGAGUAUAAUUUAAAGUCUGACCUGCCCUAUGAUUAUUUUAAAUGGCCGCAGUAUCUUGACUGUGCAAAGGUAGCAUAAUCAUUAGUUUUUUAAAUGAAAGCUGGAAUGAAUGGUUUGAUGAGAAAAUAGCUGUCUCAAUAUUAAUGAUUUAGAAUUUUAUUUUUAAGUUAAAAAGCUUAAAUAUAUUAAAAAGACGAGAAGACCCUAUAGAGUUUUAUAUAAUUUUAAUUAAAAAUUUAAUAGAUUUUUAUGAUUUUUUAUUGAUAUUAUAUUUUAUUGGGGUGAUAUAAAAAUUUAAAAAACUUUUUAUUAUAAAACCAUAAAUUUAUGAAUAUUUGAUCCUAAUUUUUAGAUUAUAAGAAAAAAUUACCUUAGGGAUAACAGCGUAAUUUUUUUUUAGAGUUCAAAUCGAAAAAAAAGAUUGCGACCUCGAUGUUGGAUUAAAAUUUAAUUUUGGUGUAGAAGCUAAAAAUAUUAGGUCUGUUCGACCUUUGAAAUUUUACAUGAUCUGAGUUUAGACCGGUGUGAGCCAGGUUGGUUUCUAUCUUUUAAAAAAGUAAUAUUUUAGUACGAAAGGACCAAAUAUUAAAAUUAAAUUUUAUAUUUUGAAUAAAAUUAUUAUUUUGGCAGAUUAGUGCUAUAGAUUUAGAAUCUUUAUAUGUAAUUUAAAUUACAAAUAAUAUUGAUUUUAAAAGAUUUAUUAUUAGUUUUUAUUUCUUUAUUAAUUAUAGUAAUUUGUGUUUUAGUAGGUGUUGCUUUUUUAACUUUACUUGAACGWAAWGUUUU